CUACGGGAGGCAGCAGUCGAGAAUUUUUCACAAUGGGGGAAACCCUGAUGGAGCGACGCCGCGUGGAGGACGAAGGCCUUCGGGUCGUAAACUCCUGUCAUGCGGGAACAAGAAAGUGAUAGUACCGCAAGAGGAAGAGGCGGCUAACUCUGUGCCAGCAGCCGCGGUAAUACAGAGGCCUCAAGCGUUGUUCGGAUUCAUUGGGCGUAAAGGGUGCGCAGGCGGCGUGGAAAGUUGAGUGUGAAAUCCCGGGGCUCAACCUCGGAACUGCACUCAAUACUACCAUGCUAGAGGAAUGUAGAGGAGAGUGGAAUUCACGGUGUAGCAGUGAAAUGCGUAGAUAUCGUGAGGAAGACCAGUUGCGAAGGCGACUCUCUGGGCAUUUCCUGACGCUCAUGCACGAAGGCCAGGGGAGCAAACGGGAUUAGAAACCCCAGUAGUCC
RNAcentral lists this ribosomal RNA (443 nucleotides) under uncultured bacterium. RNAcentral's name for it is "bacterial SSU rRNA". It matches the Rfam family "Bacterial small subunit ribosomal RNA", at positions 339 to 796 of the family's 1533-position model. The record is from RNAcentral.